Molecule: ribosomal RNA, 513 nt
Filed under: uncultured Alphaproteobacteria bacterium
Lineage: Bacteria; Pseudomonadati; Pseudomonadota; Alphaproteobacteria
Description: bacterial SSU rRNA
Rfam family: Bacterial small subunit ribosomal RNA
Source: RNAcentral
CUUGACAUGUUCGUCGCGACUCUAAGAGAUUAGAGUCAUCGGUUCGGCCGGACGAAACACAGGUGCUGCAUGGCUGUCGUCAGCUCGUGUCGUGAGAUGUUGGGUUAAGUCCCGCAACGAGCGCAACCCUUACUUUUAGUUGCUACCAUUAAGUUGGGCACUCUAAAACAACUGCCGGUGAUAAGCUGGAGGAAGGUGGGGAUGACGUCAAGUCCUUAUGGCCCUUAUGUGUUGGGCUACACACGUGCUACAAUGGUACUUACAGUGAGAAGCAAAGAGGCGACUCUAAGCCAAUCCCUAAAAGGUACCUCAGUUCGGAUUGCACUCUGCAACUCGAGUGCAUGAAGCUGGAAUUACUAGUAAUCGCGGAUCAGCGCGCCGCGGUGAAUACGUUCCCGGGUCUUGUACACACCGCCCGUCACACCAUGGAAGUUGGUUACACCUUAAGGCAAAGAAUAAAAUCUUUGACUACGGUACGAUCAGCGACUGGGGUGAAGUCGUAACAAGGUAACC